GAAAUUGUUCCAGGGGGUACAAUCAGAAAUAUUUUGGAUCUGGCCAAUAUUUUAGGAUGUAAGGUAACUUUGUUACCUAUGAAAUACCUUGGGUUACCUCUGGGGGCCCCUCACAAAUCAGUGUCUAUUUGGGAUGGGGUGAUUGAGAAGAUUGAGAGGAGAUUAGAAGGUUGGAAAAAUUUUUAUUUGUCAAAAGGGGGCAGAGUCACAUUGAUUAAAAGCACAUUGUCUAAUUGACCCACAUAUUUACUCUCCCUCUUUCCUUUACCUGUGGGGGUUGCUACAAGAAUUGAGAGGAUUUUUCGGAAUUUCUUAUGGGAUGGUAAUGGGGAGGAAAGAAAAUAUCACUUGGUGAGUUGGAAUAAGGUUUGUAUACCGAUGUCAUGUGGAGGAUUGGGCAUUCGGAAUUUAAAGCUUUUCAAUAAAGCUCUUCUUGGGAAGUGGCUUUGGAGGUACAACAAUGAGAGUAAUGCAUUAUGGAGGUAGAUUGUGGAUGUUAAAUAUGGGAGGAUGUGGGAGAAUUGGUGUACUAAUGAAGUAAAAGGGGUGUAUGGGGUGGGUUUGUGGAAGUCCAUUUGGUCGGGAUGGGGGGAUUUUGUCAAAAACAUUAAUUUCAAAGUUGGGAACGGGACAAAUAUUAAUAUCUGGCAUGAUAAUUGGUGCGGGGAUUCAGCUCUUAAAUUUGUAUUUCCUAAUCAUUUUUGGAUUGCUAGAAACAAAGGGGCUGCAGUGGCUGACUCUUAUCAGUUAUCUAAUAAUAUGUUGCAUUGGAAUGUGGAAUUUACUAGAGAAUUACAGGACUGAGAAGUGUGUGAAGCUGCUGAUUUCUUUGUAAAAUUAUAUGUUACGAAGAUCGAUCA
Molecule: long non-coding RNA, 860 nt
Organism: Juglans microcarpa x Juglans regia
Lineage: Eukaryota; Viridiplantae; Streptophyta; Magnoliopsida; Fagales; Juglandaceae
Exons: 2
Source: RefSeq, a predicted model, not a curated record